Long non-coding RNA from Nannospalax galili (Upper Galilee mountains blind mole rat), 541 nucleotides. RefSeq lists it as uncharacterized. The transcript has 3 exons. NCBI's taxonomy places the organism in Eukaryota, Metazoa, Chordata, Mammalia, Rodentia, Spalacidae. The record is from RefSeq and is a predicted model, not a curated record.
AGAGUAACUGUGUAAUCCUGGCUAAUUUGGUAGGCCAUGGAAUUGAAAGAAAUCUGCCUGCCUCUGCCUCAAGUGCUGGGAUUAAAGAUUACCCACAGAGCCCAUAUGUUACCCAUACAAUGUGGGGCCAUACACUUGAGCAUAGUCAACCUGCCAGGAGCUACACUGUUAAGGAAAACUGACUCUUCCUUUCCCAGAGGUCAUUAACAGUCAAUAACUCCUCAGUUAGGGGAAGGGAGUCCCGACCCUCUUCCCUUGAGGGGCUGGAGAGAGAUGGCUCAACAAAGAGCACUUGCUGCUCUUGCAGAGGACUGAGUUUGGUUCCCAGACUACACAUUGGGCUCCAGAGAAUCCAAAGUCCUUGUCUGUUUUCCACAGGUACCUGCAUUCAUUUGCACAGACCCACACACAUAAUUAAAAUAAAAGAAGUCUUAAAACAAACAAGCCUUGUUCCAAUGUUUUGUAAUAUUAAAGUUUGGACAGUAUGACUUAAACAUGUUUCUUCUUUUAGCUGAGCGUGGUAGCACAAGCCUUUAGUCUC